AAGUCGUAACAAGGUUUCCGUAGGUGAACCUGCGGAAGGAUCAUUAUCCUUUAGCGUAGUAUUCUAACAAGUACUACAAGCGCAUGCACGCUCGUGUUGCGUAAAAAAAGCACAACAAAACAUGCCUAGUCACGUUUUGUUUCCAAACCCAUGCUCGCUUGAGCAUGGUCGGGUACCUAAGUAAGCGUUUCACGCGUACUGAAGCGGUAGAUGCGUGUCUACCGUGUGGUGUAAAGAUUAUUCAGGCCUUGAAUAACGCCCGCCUAGCAAACUUUUGUAGACAAAUAUUAAUCGCUUAUUAUGUUGUAUGUGUAAAGCACUAUCUUAUUACUUAUAGGAUAAUAACACAAAUACAACCCUAUGCGGUGGAUCAUUUGGCUC
Molecule: unclassified non-coding RNA, 381 nt
Filed under: fungal sp.
Lineage: Eukaryota; Fungi
Description: partial internal transcribed spacer region
Rfam family: Eukaryotic small subunit ribosomal RNA (bases 1-46)
Source: RNAcentral